GGGCUCACACAAGCGGUGGAGCAUGUGGAUUAAUUCGAAGCAACGCGCAGAACCUUACCUGGGUUUGACAUGCUUGGAUGCCGCCCUGGAAACAGGGUUGGCUGCCUUCGGGUGAAACUUGCACAGGUGCUGCAUGGCUGUCGUCAGCUCGUGUCGUGAGAUGUCGGGUUAAGUCCUUUAACGAGCGAAACCCCUGCCGUUAGUUGCCAUCGGGUCAUGCCGGGCACUUUAGCGGGACUGCCGGUGUCAAACCGGAGGAAGGUGGGGAUGACGUCAAGUCCUCAUGGCCUUUAUACCCAGGGCCUCACACGUGCUACAAUGGCGGCUACAGAGCGACGCAAAACCGCGAGGUGGAGCAAAUCGCAAAAAGGUCGCCCCAGUUCAGAUUGUAGGCUGGCAACUCGCCUACAUGAAGGCGGAAUCGCUAGUAAUCGCGUAUCAGCCAUGACGCGGUGAAUGUGUUCCUGAGCCUU
This 473-nucleotide ribosomal RNA is filed under the name uncultured bacterium. RNAcentral describes it as "bacterial SSU rRNA". It matches the Rfam family "Bacterial small subunit ribosomal RNA", at positions 917 to 1382 of the family's 1533-position model. The record is from RNAcentral.